Molecule: RNA transcript, 2182 nt
Organism: Salvelinus namaycush (lake trout)
Lineage: Eukaryota; Metazoa; Chordata; Actinopteri; Salmoniformes; Salmonidae
Gene name: protein FAM107B-like
Exons: 5
Source: RefSeq, a predicted model, not a curated record
GAAGUUUAAAGGAGUGCUGCACCAGCCCUGCCUCUGACGGGCUUCUACACAGAUACAUUUAGGUUUCAGAGACAGGACACACAGAGACACCCGGACAGAGAGAGAGAGAGACAGACACAGAGAGAGGCAUGGCACAGAGAGUCACCCACAGCCACAGCCUGUUCCCUCCUGGCCAGUCUGGGAGGCCCAGGGACGUGCUGGUCAAGUCAGAAUCGGCCUAUGCGAACCUGCAGUGGGAGCAGCAGCCCAGGCAGGAUGGGAGCCACCCACCUCAGGACUACCCUCACAGGGACCAGCCCCCAGUGGCUGGCUACAUCCCCCAGCCCAAUUACAUGGAGGGAGAUCAUGAUCUCAUCAAGCCCAAAAAGCUCCUCAAUCCAGUGAAAGCCUCCAAAAGCCACCAGGACCUCCAACGAGAGCUGCUAAUGAGCCAGAAAAGGGGUGGUGUUGUUGGUGUGGAGUCUAAGCCGGAGCUGCAGCGCGUGUUAGAGGCCAGGAAGAGGGAAAAAAUUAUAAAGCAAAGGAAGGAAGAAGAUGAGGCCAGAAAGAAGAUCUCUCCUCUGGAACAAGAGCUCCUCAAGAGGAAGGAUAAGCUAGAAGAGAAGGAGCAGGAAAAACAAGAGGAGACAGUGAAAGCCCCAGAGUUUGUCAAGGUCAAGGAGAACUUGAGACGGACGUCCUUUCACAGUAAUGGAGAGAAAGAGGUGUAGAGACAAACCGGUCCAGGUAUACAAUUUAGUUGGAAUCUGCUGGAGUUUGCACACAUGUGUGUAUUAUAAGUGUGAAUGGACAAAGAACUGCUGUGUUGUGUUGCUCUGACUGCACAACUCAGACAACAGCAAGGAACUUCUACCUGUUACAAGGACUGGUCGACAAGCCAUGACACAAUGCCUUCACAAUCCUACUCAGAGCAGAGACACAGAGAGAGAGAGACAGAGAAGGAAGGUUGACUCUGCAUUGGACUAGUGUUACAGUCAGUAGCAUAGGCCAAACUAUAGCUGUGACAUCUCAAUCCAGAGAAACUGGCAUGAGUGUGAGGGUCAAAGAGGGGAGCAGCUAUUCACUAGUGGACAUAGUGUUCCGUAUUGCAAUGACUCUAGAAAUAAAGCCAUGGUGGGUGUUCUUCUACAGUGUGUCAGAGCAGUGGUUACUUUUCAUUUUAAGCUGUGUAUAUCCAAGAGUCAUUCUCUAGGAUACAGUAUAAGAAGCACACUGUACCUGCACAUACAAUCAAUACAGAUUGUUAACAGGAAACAAUCCAAUUAACUUCAUAGCACACUCAUAAUCUUCUCAUGGAAUUUAAGGUCACGCAUCUCAAUGUGAAAUCUCUCACAGAGAAAGUUCCUAUCCCUAACAGUGCCUUCCUAGUUGCAUGUCAUCCUAAUCAAAAAGUUAAAAACAAGAAAAGCUAUCAUUAUGAAACUGAAUACUAUCAAUCAUUUAAUGUCACCUGGGCAUCAUAUAGAGUACUGUAUGUAGGUGAAUGUGAGUGUUGGUGUGAUGUUGAAGAGACACAAGAGGCACGGAUAUUUAUAUUACCUCCAACCACAUCUCACCUUUUUUUUCGUAACAUUUACAUGUUUUGGAAAGUUAUAUUUAUGUUUUGUGCUAAAGGUGUGAGACAAGGUAGAUAUUCUCACAUUUGUAAUUCUAUCACAGCUCUUUUUAAAUAGUAUUAUGUAGCGAUACACAAUUAAAUACAAUCAGUUGAAUAAUUUUAUUUAAAUAAGGCACUUUAGAAAAUGAAAUUAUGUAUCUGAAUAUGUAUUUUAGUGAUCAAUUAUGAAUUAGUCAUUUUUUAAAUCCUGUCUUUUUAAAAUCCAAUGAUUAAGUUUGAAUUUGUUUUUAUCCUGAUUGCGUAUAUUUGUAUUUUUGUGUUUUUUGCACCACAUAUUGUUCUCUGCCUUUACUGACUACUGAAGCCACUUACAAUGUUUAAUGGUAUAAAGCUGUACAUGUUAUAAACAUGAAGACAUUACUUCUCAUUUAUUUUUCAGUCUCUUCAUUGCAUAAAAGUAUGACUAUUAAUGUAUGAUUAUUUCAAUAGCUUUUACAAUAGCACAAUGAUUGUUAUGAAUAACAAUAAAACUUCAAAUUACUACAUAUCUGAGAAGGGAGGUACAAAGAGCUUAAGUAAGAUUGCUUUUCUUUCUAAGAAAAUAAAUAAAGGACAAACACUGCA